UCCUGGCUCAGGAUGAACGCUGGCGGCGUGCUUAACACAUGCAAGUCGAACGAAGCACUUUGAUCGAUUUCUUCGGAUUGAAAUUUUAGUGACUGAGUGGCGGACGGGUGAGUAACGCGUGGGUAACCUGCCUCACACAGGGGGAUAACAGUUGGAAACGGCUGCUAAUACCGCAUAAGCGCACAGUACCGCAUGGUACGGUGUGAAAAACUCCGGUGGUGUGAGAUGGACCCGCGUCUGAUUAGCUAGUUGGCAGGGCAACGGCCUACCAAGGCGACGAUCAGUAGCCGACCUGAGAGGGUGACCGGCCACAUUGGGACUGAGACACGGCCCAAACUCCUACGGGAGGCAGCAGUGGGGAAUAUUGCACAAUGGGGGAAACCCUGAUGCAGCGACGCCGCGUGAGCGAAGAAGUAUUUCGGUAUGUAAAGCUCUAUCAGCAGGGAAGAAGAAAUGACGGUACCUGACUAAGAAGCACCGGCUAAAUACGUGCCAGCAGCCGCGGUAAUACGUAUGGUGCAAGCGUCAUCCGGAUUUACUGGGUGUAAAGGGAGCGCAGGCGGAAGGCUAAGUCUGAUGUGAAAGCCCGGGGCUCAACCCCAGUACUGCAUUGGAAACUGGUCAUCUAGAGUGUCGGAGGGGUAAGUGGAAUUCCUAGUGUAGCGGUGAAAUGCGUAGAUAUUAGGAGGAACACCAGUGGCGAAGGCGGCUUACUGGACGAUAACUGACGCUGAGGCUCGAAAGCGUGGGGAGCAAACAGGAUUAGAUACCCUGGUAGUCCACGCCGUAAACGAUG
RNAcentral lists this ribosomal RNA (796 nucleotides) under uncultured bacterium. RNAcentral's name for it is "bacterial SSU rRNA". It matches the Rfam family "Bacterial small subunit ribosomal RNA", at positions 17 to 811 of the family's 1533-position model. The record is from RNAcentral. RNAcentral also lists the same sequence under 1 other name.